Molecule: ribosomal RNA, 439 nt
Filed under: uncultured bacterium
Lineage: Bacteria
Description: bacterial SSU rRNA
Rfam family: Bacterial small subunit ribosomal RNA
Source: RNAcentral
CCUACGGGGGGCUGCAGUUGGGAAUAUUGCACAAUUGGGGAAACCCUGAUGCUGCGGCCCCGCGGUAGCGUUUAAGGGCUUCGGGGCGUAAAUGUUUUGCCCUAUGGAAGAUAAUUACCGGAACUUCGGCUGAAGCCCCGGCGAACGACGUGCCAGCAGCGGCGGUAAUACGGAGGGGGCGAGAGUUGUCCGGAAUUACUGGGCGUACAGGGUGCGUAGGCGGGACUCUAAGUCAGAUGUGAAAGCCCUCGGCUUAACCGAGGUAAGCAUUUGAAACUGCAUAACUUGAGUGCAGGAGAGGAGAGUGGAAUUCCUAGUGUAGCGGUGAAAUGCGUAGAUAUUAGGAAGAACACCAGUGGCGAAGGCGACUCUCUGGACUGUAACUGACGCUGAGGCACGAAAGCGUGGGGAGCGAACAGGAUUAGUUACCCGAGUAGUC